Molecule: ribosomal RNA, 465 nt
Filed under: Vreelandella stevensii
Lineage: Bacteria; Pseudomonadati; Pseudomonadota; Gammaproteobacteria; Oceanospirillales; Halomonadaceae
Description: partial 16S ribosomal RNA
Rfam family: Bacterial small subunit ribosomal RNA
Source: RNAcentral
CCUACGGGUGGCUGCAGUGGGGAAUAUUGGACAAUGGGCGAAAGCCUGAUCCAGCCAUGCCGCGUGUGUGAAGAAGGCCUUCGGGUUGUAAAGCACUUUCAGUGGGGAAGAAAGCCUUGGGGCUAAUACCCUCGAGGAAGGACAUCACCCACAGAAGAAGCACCGGCUAACUCCGUGCCAGCAGCCGCGGUAAUACGGAGUGUGCGAGCGUUAAUCGGAAUUACUGGGCGUAAAGCGCGCGUAGGCGGUCUGAUAAGCCGGUUGUGAAAGCCCCGGGCUCAACCUGGGAACGGCAUCCGGAACUGUCAGGCUAGAGUGCAGGAGAGGAAGGUAGAAUUCCCGGUGUAGCGGUGAAAUGCGUAGAGAUCGGGAGGAAUACCAGUGGCGAAGGCGGCCUUCUGGACUGACACUGACGCUGAGGUGCGAAAGCGUGGGUAGCAAACAGGAUUAGAUACCCUGGUAGUC